Molecule: long non-coding RNA, 194 nt
Organism: Carlito syrichta (Philippine tarsier)
Lineage: Eukaryota; Metazoa; Chordata; Mammalia; Primates; Tarsiidae
Exons: 3
Source: RefSeq, a predicted model, not a curated record
UUUGUAGUUUAAAGUGAUAUUUGUAAAGUAACUAAGAAAAACUAUUAGAGAAAUAAAAGAUGUGUAGGGCAACGUGGAAGAGGAGCAGUGAGGAGAUUCUGCUAUGCCUCCCAUAGAAUGCCUUUUAACCUCAAAGCUGCCAAGAUAAAUAUCUAUGGAGUCUCACUCUCUUGUCCAGGAUGGAAAGCAGUGGC